GCGCGAUGAUUUUCGGUGAUUAUCCGGCGGAGUACAACCCGAAGAUCCACGGACCCAUAA
This is a non-coding RNA of Aedes aegypti (yellow fever mosquito), 60 nucleotides long. NCBI's taxonomy places the organism in Eukaryota, Metazoa, Arthropoda, Insecta, Diptera, Culicidae. The record is from Rfam.